UACGUAGGGUGCAAGCGUUAAUCGGAAUUACUGGGCGUAAAGCGUGCGCAGGCGGCUAUGCAAGACAGAUGUGAGAUCCCCGGGCUCAACCUGGGAACUGCAUUUGUGACUGCAUAGCUAGAGUACGGUAGAGGGGGAUGGAAUUCCGCGUGUAGCAGUGAAAUGCGUAGAUAUGCGGAGGAACACCGAUGGCGAAGGCAAUCCCCUGGACCUGUACUGACGCUCAUGCACGAAAGCGUGGGGAGCAAACAGG
RNAcentral lists this ribosomal RNA (253 nucleotides) under uncultured bacterium. Its description in RNAcentral is "partial 16S ribosomal RNA". It matches the Rfam family "Bacterial small subunit ribosomal RNA", at positions 524 to 776 of the family's 1533-position model. The record is from RNAcentral.